Molecule: ribosomal RNA, 407 nt
Filed under: uncultured bacterium
Lineage: Bacteria
Description: bacterial SSU rRNA
Rfam family: Bacterial small subunit ribosomal RNA
Source: RNAcentral
UGGGGAAUAUUGGGCAAUGGGCGAAAGCCUGACCCAGCAACGCCGCGUGAAGGAAGAAGGCUUUCGGGUUGUAAACUUCUUUUAUCAGGGACGAAGGAUGUGACGGUACCUGAUGAAUAAGCCACGGCUAACUACGUGCCAGCAGCCGCGGUAAUACGUAGGUGGCAAGCGUUGUCCGGAUUUACUGGGUGUAAAGGGCGCGCAGGCGGGAGAGCAAGUCAGAUGUGAAAUCUAUGGGCUUAACCCAUAAACUGCAUUUGAAACUGUUUUUCUUGAGUGAUGGAGAGGCAAGCGGAAUUCCUAGUGUAGCGGUGAAAUGCGUAGAUAUUAGGAGGAACACCAGUGGCGAAGGCGGCUUGCUGGACAUUAACUGACGCUGAGGCGCGAAAGCGUGGGGAGCAAACAGG